GAUAUGGUGGCCGAGUGGUUAAGGCGUGGCGUCCAGGUUUAUUCUGGGAUUUGCCAUGGGCAUUGCCCGCGCAGGUUCGAACCCUGUCCAUGUCG
Transfer RNA from Candida tropicalis MYA-3404, 95 nucleotides. It matches the Rfam family "tRNA". Rfam says of the family: Transfer RNA (tRNA) molecules are approximately 80 nucleotides in length. Their secondary structure includes four short double-helical elements and three loops (D, anti-codon, and T loops). Further hydrogen bonds mediate the characteristic L-shaped molecular structure. tRNAs have two regions of fundamental functional importance: the anti-codon, which is responsible for specific mRNA codon recognition, and the 3' end, to which the tRNAs corresponding amino acid is attached (by aminoacyl-tRNA synthetases). tRNAs cope with the degeneracy of the genetic code in two manners: having more than one tRNA (with a specific anti-codon) for a particular amino acid; and 'wobble' base-pairing, i.e. permitting non-standard base-pairing at the 3rd anti-codon position. The record is from Rfam. NCBI's taxonomy places the organism in Eukaryota, Fungi, Ascomycota, Pichiomycetes, Serinales, Debaryomycetaceae.